RNAcentral lists this ribosomal RNA (250 nucleotides) under uncultured bacterium. Its description in RNAcentral is "partial 16S ribosomal RNA". It matches the Rfam family "Bacterial small subunit ribosomal RNA", at positions 809 to 1058 of the family's 1533-position model. The record is from RNAcentral.
AUGUCGAUUAGCUGUUGGGCAGCAUGACUGCUUAGUAGCGAAGCUAACGCGUGAAAUCGACCGCCUGGGGAGUACGGUCGCAAGAUUAAAACUCAAAGGAAUUGACGGGGACCCGCACAAGCGGUGGAUGAUGUGGAUUAAUUCGAUGCAACGCGAAGAACCUUACCUGGUCUUGACAUGUACGGAACCCUCCAGAGACGGAGGGGUGCCUUCGGGAGCCGUAACACAGGUGCUGCAUGGCUGUCGUCAG